AUACAAAAGCAACAUGAAGGAUGCACAAGUAAGCAAACAAUCAAUCAAUUAGCACACUCUAUACACAAUCAAAAGGUUCAUACAAGGCUGGGCUUUAGUCAAGGGGUCAUAUCGACCUUGACAAACAAGCCAAAUACUGGAAGGGGUGUCAGGGCUCUUAACCUUUGACAUUGACCGUCAGGGUGAGCAGAUGAAAUGGGAAAUGAGGGUUAGACCUCAUAG
Molecule: long non-coding RNA, 222 nt
Filed under: Lathyrus oleraceus (garden pea)
Lineage: Eukaryota; Viridiplantae; Streptophyta; Magnoliopsida; Fabales; Fabaceae
Description: Pisum sativum (pea) long non-coding RNA (PSAT_LNC006988)
Source: RNAcentral